CACGAAAGUUCUUCUGUUUUAAAAAAACACUCAAGGAAAUUGAAUUUGUAGUGAAGAUGCUACAUUAAAAUGGUUAGACGAGAAGUCCCCAUGGAGCUUUACUGAAAGCCUAAAAGAAAUUUUUUUAUUUAUUUAUAGGCUAGACAGUUUUGUUGGGGUGAUAGUUUUUUAAAAAGUAACGAAAACGAACUAUGACGCAUGUUUCACUCUGAAAACCUUGAAGAGACAUUUGGGGUGUGUUUUAUGAUCUAUUGUUUUGAAUGAAAAAGAUAAUGAAAGCA
Molecule: ribosomal RNA, 281 nt
Filed under: Pourtalosmilia anthophyllites
Lineage: Eukaryota; Metazoa; Cnidaria; Anthozoa; Scleractinia; Caryophylliidae
Description: partial 16S ribosomal RNA
Rfam family: Bacterial large subunit ribosomal RNA
Source: RNAcentral